AGCAGUAUGGUGUAUUUGAUGCACACGGGGUAUUUGUAAGAAUCAACGGUACUUGAAUAUAAACCCCCGAAGUCCUUGUUCGAAUCAAGGUGCUGCUC
Non-coding RNA from Mycena metata, 98 nucleotides. The record is from the annotation of a GenBank genome assembly. NCBI's taxonomy places the organism in Eukaryota, Fungi, Basidiomycota, Agaricomycetes, Agaricales, Mycenaceae.